UUCCGUUAGAAUAAAAGUUCAUCUAAUUUCCACUUAGAAAGUUCCAAAAAGAUGGAACGGAAA
RNAcentral lists this transfer RNA (63 nucleotides) under Bovicola bovis (cattle chewing louse). RNAcentral's name for it is "tRNA-Gly". Lineage: Eukaryota; Metazoa; Arthropoda; Insecta; Psocodea; Bovicoliidae. The record is from RNAcentral.